Molecule: ribosomal RNA, 374 nt
Filed under: uncultured bacterium
Lineage: Bacteria
Description: bacterial SSU rRNA
Rfam family: Bacterial small subunit ribosomal RNA
Source: RNAcentral
UACGUAGGGGGCAAGCGUUGUCCGGAAUCACUGGGCGUAAAGGGUGAGUAGGCGGUUAUUUAAGUUGGGUGUGAAGUCCCCGGGCUUAACCUGGGAAUCGCACUCAAAACUGGGUAACUAGAGUGUCGGAGAGGAAAGCGGAAUUCCUGGUGUAGCGGUGAAAUGCGUAGAUAUCAGGAGGAACACCGGUGGCGAAGGCGGCUUUCUGGACGAUAACCGACGCUGAGGCACGAAAGCGUGGGGAGCAAACAGGAUUAGAUACCCUGGUAGUCCACGCUGUAAACGAUGAAUACUAGGUGUAGGGGGUGUAUACUCUCUGUGCCGCAGCUAACGCAAUAAGUAUUCCGCCUGGGGAGUACGGUCGCAAGACUAAA